This 501-nucleotide ribosomal RNA is filed under the name uncultured bacterium. RNAcentral's name for it is "partial 16S ribosomal RNA". It matches the Rfam family "Bacterial small subunit ribosomal RNA", at positions 29 to 523 of the family's 1533-position model. The record is from RNAcentral.
AGUGAACGCUGGCGGCAGGCUUAACACAUGCAAGCCGAGCGGAGAUGAGGUGCCUGCACCUUAUCUUAGCGGCGGACGGGUGAGUAAUGCUUAGGAAUCUGCCUAUUAGUGGGGGACAACAAUCCGAAAGGAAUGCUAAUACCGCUUACGUCCUACGGGAGAAAGCAGGGGAUCUUCGGACCUUGCGUUAAUAGAUGAGCCUAAGUCGGAUUAGCUAGUUGGUGGGGUAAAGGCCUACCAAGGCGACGAUCUGUAGCGGGUCUGAGAGGAUGGUCCGCCACACUGGGACUGAGACACGGCCCAGACUCCUACGGGAGGCAGCAGUGGGGAAUAUUGGACAAUGGGGGGAACCCUGAUCCAGCCAUGCCGCGUGUGUGAAGAAGGCCUUAUGGUUGUAAAGCACUUUAAGCGAGGAGGAGGCUCUUUUGGCUAAUACCCAAGAUGAGUGGACGUUACUCGCAGAAUAAGCACCGGCUAACUCUGUGCCAGCCGCCGCUGUAA